Molecule: ribosomal RNA, 1372 nt
Filed under: Oenococcus oeni
Lineage: Bacteria; Bacillati; Bacillota; Bacilli; Lactobacillales; Lactobacillaceae
Description: bacterial LSU rRNA
Rfam family: Bacterial large subunit ribosomal RNA
Source: RNAcentral
GUUAAGGUCCCUAAAUAUAUGCUAAGUGGAAAACGUUGUGAAGGUGCAUAGACAACUAGGAGGUUGGCUCAGAAGCAGCCACCCUUUAAAGAGUGCGUAAUAGCUCACUAGUCGAGUGCUCUUGCGCGGAUAAUGUACCGGGGCUAAGCAUAUUACCGAAACUGUGGAUGCGUAAGCAUGGUAGGAUAGCGUAAUUAACGCGAUGAAGGAUGACCGUAAGGACAUGUUGGAGCGUUAACUAGUGAGAAUUCCGGUAUGAGUAGCGAAAGAUAGGUGAGAAUCCUAUCCACCGAAUGAGUAAGGUUUCCCCCGGAAGGCUCGUCCGCGGGGGGUUAGUCGGGACCUAAGGCGAGGCUGAAAAGCGUAGUCGAUGGACAACAGGUUGAUAUUCCUGUACCGAUAUUUAAUUGCCGAAGGAAGGACGCAGAAGGAUAACACAGGCCACUAUUGGAUGUGGUUUUAAACAGUUAGUCUUCAUAAGAGUCAAAUGCUUUUAUGUUUAAGGAUAAGCUGUGAAUGUACCAAGUUUACUUGGAAAUUGUGUGAUUUCACGCUGCUGAAAAAAGUUUCGUAGGAAGAAAAUAUUGCCCGUACCGCAAACCGACACAGGUACUCAAGUGGAGAACACUAAGGUGAGCGAGUGAACUAUUGUUAAGGAACUCUGCAAAAUGAGUCCGUAACUUCGGAAGAAGGACUGCUGGUUUUAUACCAGCCGCAGCAAAUAGGCCCAAACAACUGUUUAUCAAAAACACAGGUUUCUGCAAAAUCGUAAGAUGAAGUAUAGGGGCUGACGCCUGCCCAGUGCUGGAAGGUUAAAAGGAGGACUUAGCUUCGGCGAAGGUCUUAAUUGAAGCCCCAGUGAACGGCGGCCGUAACUAUAACGGUCCUAAGGUAGCGAAAUUCCUUGUCGGGUAAGUUCCGACCCGCAUGAAAGGCGUAAUGAUUUGGGCGCUGUCUCAACAAUAGACUCGGUGAAAUUUAAAUUCCAGUGAAGAUGCUGGGUACCCGCGACAGGACGGAAAGACCCCGUGGAGCUUUACUGUAGCUUGAUAUUGAAUGUUUGUGCUGCAUGUGCAGGAUAGGUAGGAGACUUUGAAGUCGGAACGCUAGUUUCGAUUGAGUCACCCUUGAGAUACUACCUCUGUUGUAUGAACGUUCUAACUCUGAUCAGUUAUCCUGAUCGAAGACAGUGUCUGGCAGGCAGUUUGACUGGGGCGGUCGCCUCCUAAAAGAUAACGGAGGCGCUCAAAGGUUUGCUCAGAAUGGUUGGAAAUCAUUCGUAGCGUGUAAAGGCAUAAGCAAGCUUGACUGUGAGACUGACAAGUCGAGCAGGUACGAAAGUAGGACUUAGUGAUCCGGUGGUUCCGUAUGG